CCUCAGGACUGACCUCCCGGAGGUCCCUGCUCUGGCCCUGAGGUUCCCUCAAGAGGUUGUGUGCUGAGAAAAACGUGGUGACAUUUGGGCUGUGUGACCAAAAACGCAUGGUGCAACUUGCACCUUUGCUCUCGUGGAGCCAGCAGUGUCGUCAGGACAGCCGGACGAUCGUCAGUCUCCAGCCGUUGUGAGCGUUUUGAACCAUCCAGCUCCCUUUUUUUUCAAAAUGCUGCCCUGUUAUUUAAGGACCUUUUACUUCAGGUGGGUUUUGCUGGAUGUGUCAUGAGUGCCCAUGGAAAGCAGGGAACAUGCUGCCAUGAACUUGGCAAACCGACCCUCCGAGCUGUACGGCUGGUUUAUGGCA
This is a long non-coding RNA of Nothoprocta perdicaria, 364 nucleotides long. RefSeq lists it as uncharacterized. NCBI's taxonomy places the organism in Eukaryota, Metazoa, Chordata, Aves, Tinamiformes, Tinamidae. The transcript is spliced from 3 exons. The record is from RefSeq and is a predicted model, not a curated record.